RNAcentral lists this small RNA (28 nucleotides) under Bombyx mori (domestic silkworm). RNAcentral's name for it is "ovarian small RNA-26367". The record is from RNAcentral. Lineage: Eukaryota; Metazoa; Arthropoda; Insecta; Lepidoptera; Bombycidae.
UCAUUGGAAUGUAAAAAGAGAAUGUGUA